AGAGUUUGAUCAUGGCUCAGAUUGAACGCUGGCGGCAGGCCUAACACAUGCAAGUCGAGCGGUAGCACAGAGAGCUUGCUCUCGGGUGACGAGCGGCGGACGGGUGAGUAAUGUCUGGGAAACUGCCUGAUGGAGGGGGAUAACUACUGGAAACGGUAGCUAAUACCGCAUAACGUCGCAAGACCAAAGUGGGGGACCUUCGGGCCUCAUGCCAUCAGAUGUGCCCAGAUGGGAUUAGCUAGUAGGUGGGGUAACGGCUCACCUAGGCGACGAUCCCUAGCUGGUCUGAGAGGAUGACCAGCCACACUGGAACUGAGACACGGUCCAGACUCCUACGGGAGGCAGCAGUGGGGAAUAUUGCACAAUGGGCGCAAGCCUGAUGCAGCCAUGCCGCGUGUGUGAAGAAGGCCUUCGGGUUGUAAAGCACUUUCAGCGGGGAGGAAGGCGUUAAGGUUAAUAACCUCAUCGAUUGACGUUACCCGCAGAAGAAGCACCGGCUAACUCCGUGCCAGCAGCCGCGGUAAUACGGAGGGUGCAAGCGUUAAUCGGAAUUACUGGGCGUAAAGCGCACGCAGGCGGUCUGUCAAGUCGGAUGUGAAAUCCCCGGGCUCAACCUGGGAACUGCAUUCGAAACUGGCAGGCUAGAGUCUUGUAGAGGGGGGUAGAAUUCCAGGUGUAGCGGUGAAAUGCGUAGAGAUCUGGAGGAAUACCGGUGGCGAAGGCGGCCCCCUGGACAAAGACUGACGCUCAGGUGCGAAAGCGUGGGGAGCAAACAGGAUUAGAUACCCUGGUAGUCCACGCCGUAAACGAUGUCGAUUUGGAGGUUGUGCCCUUGAGGCGUGGCUUCCGGAGCUAACGCGUUAAAUCGACCGCCUGGGGAGUACGGCCGCAAGGUUAAAACUCAAAUGAAUUGACGGGGGCCCGCACAAGCGGUGGAGCAUGUGGUUUAAUUCGAUGCAACGCGAAGAACCUUACCUGGUCUUGACAUCCACAGAACUUUCCAGAGAUGGAUUGGUGCCUUCGGGAACUGUGAGACAGGUGCUGCAUGGCUGUCGUCAGCUCGUGUUGUGAAAUGUUGGGUUAAGUCCCGCAACGAGCGCAACCCUUAUCCUUUGUUGCCAGCGGUCCGGCCGGGAACUCAAAGGAGACUGCCAGUGAUAAACUGGAGGAAGGUGGGGAUGACGUCAAGUCAUCAUGGCCCUUACGACCAGGGCUACACACGUGCUACAAUGGCAUAUACAAAGAGAAGCGACCUCGCGAGAGCAAGCGGACCUCAUAAAGUAUGUCGUAGUCCGGAUUGGAGUCUGCAACUCGACUCCAUGAAGUCGGAAUCGCUAGUAAUCGUAGAUCAGAAUGCUACGGUGAAUACGUUCCCGGGCCUUGUACACACCGCCCGUCACACCAUGGGAGUGGGUUGCAAAAGAAGUAGGUAGCUUAACCUUCGGGAGGGCGCUUACCACUUUGUGAUUCAUGACUGGGGUGAAGUCGUAACAAGGUAACCGUAGGGGAACCUGCGGUUGGAUCACCU
This 1528-nucleotide ribosomal RNA is filed under the name Klebsiella pneumoniae. RNAcentral describes it as "bacterial SSU rRNA". It matches the Rfam family "Bacterial small subunit ribosomal RNA". The record is from RNAcentral. Lineage: Bacteria; Pseudomonadati; Pseudomonadota; Gammaproteobacteria; Enterobacterales; Enterobacteriaceae. RNAcentral also lists the same sequence under 1 other name.